This 1040-nucleotide long non-coding RNA is filed under the name Marmota monax (woodchuck). The record is from RNAcentral. Lineage: Eukaryota; Metazoa; Chordata; Mammalia; Rodentia; Sciuridae.
GUACUCCAGAAAGGCUUUAAUAUCGUUAAAACCCAUUAGAAAUAGACCAAGGGUACAGAAUAGAGGACCCAGAGACUAACCCACAAAAUUACAACUACCUUAUAUUAGACAAAGGUGCCAAAAGCAUUCACUGGAGAAAGGAUAGAAUCUUCAACAAAUGGUGCUGGGAAAACUGGAAAUCCAUAUGCAACAAGAUGAAAUUAAAUCCCCAUCUCUCACCAUGCACAAAAGUUAACUCAAAAUGGAUCAACGAUCGAGGGAUUAAACCAGAGACUCUGUGUCUAAUAGAAGAAAAAGUAGGCCCUAAUCUCCAUCACGUGGGGCUAGGCCCCAACUUCCUUAAUAAUAUGCCUAUAGCACAAGAAUUAAAACCAAGAAUCAACAAAUGAGAUGGAUUCAAACUAAAAAGUUUUUUUUUCUCAGCAAGAGAAAUAAUAUGUGAGGUGAACAGGGAGCCUACAUCCUGGGAACAAAUUUUUACCCCUCACACAUCAGAUAGAGUUCUAAUCUCUAAGGCAUAUAAAGAGUUCAACAAGAUAAUCACACACACACACACACACACACACAAACAGAUAAUCAAUUAAUAAUGGGCCGAGGACCUGAACAGACACUUCUCUGAAGAGGAUAUACAAUCAAUCAACAAAUAUACCAAAAAGUACUCAUCAUCUCUAGCAAUCAGAGAAAUGCAGAUUAAAACUACUCUAAGAUACCAUCUCACUCUUACUGAGUGGCAGCCAUUAUGAAGCAAACAACAACAAGUGCUGGCGAGGAUGUGGGGAAAAGGCACACUCAUAUCAUUGCUGGUGGGACUGCAAACUGGUGCAGCCAAUCUGGAAAGCAGUAUGGAGAUUCCUUGGAAAACUUGAAAUGGAAAUACCAUUUGACCCAACUAUCCCACUCCUCAGUUUAUACCCAAAGGACUUAAAAACAGCAUAGUACAGGGACACAGCCACAUCAAUGUUUAUAGCAGCACAAUUCACGAUAGCUAAAUAGUGGAACCAAUCUAGAUGCCCUUCAAUAGAUGAAUGCAUAAAGAUAGA